RNAcentral lists this ribosomal RNA (526 nucleotides) under uncultured bacterium. RNAcentral describes it as "bacterial SSU rRNA". It matches the Rfam family "Bacterial small subunit ribosomal RNA", at positions 20 to 518 of the family's 1533-position model. The record is from RNAcentral.
CUGGUCAGGACGAACGCUGGCGGCGUGCCUAAUACAUGCAAGUCGAACGGCUUUUCUAUGGAAGCUUGCUUCCACUGAGAAGAUAGUGGCGAACGGGUGAGUAACACGUGGGUAACCUGCCCAUAAGAGGGGGGAUAACAUCCGGAAACGGGUGCUAAUACCGCAUAGUUUUCUUGAUCGCAUGAUUGAGAAAGGAAAGACGGCCUUUGUGCUGUCGCUUAUGGAUGGACCCGCGGCGUAUUAGUUAGUUGGUGAGGUAACGGCUCACCAAGACGAUGAUACGUAGCCGACCUGAGAGGGUGAUCGGCCACAUUGGGACUGAGACACGGCCCAAACUCCUACGGGAGGCAGCAGUAGGGAAUCUUCCGCAAUGGACGAAAGUCUGACGGAGCAACGCCGCGUGAGUGAAAGAAGGUUUUCGGAUCGUAAAACUCUGUUGUCAGAGAAGAACAAGUUGGAGAGUAACUGCUCCAGCCUUGACGGUAUCUGACCAGAAAGCCACGGCUAACUACGUGCCAGCCGCCGC